GGAAGUGUGCCCGAACACAAGGAUUACUUUGAUAGAGUAACAUAUAGGAGCUUAAAUCUCCUCAUUUCCU
Molecule: transfer RNA, 70 nt
Filed under: Polychrus acutirostris
Lineage: Eukaryota; Metazoa; Chordata; Lepidosauria; Squamata; Polychrotidae
Description: tRNA-Ile
Source: RNAcentral